UACAGAGGGUGCGAGCGUUGUCCGGAAUCACUGGGCGUAAAGGGCGCGUAGGUGGUGGCUUAAGCGUGCGGUGAAAGCUCGGAGCUCAACUCCGAGUCGGCCGUGCGAACUGGGCUCACUGGAGCACUGUAGAGGCGGGUGGAAUUCCGGGUGUAGCGGUGGAAUGCGUAGAGAUCCGGAAGAACACCAGUGGCGAAGGCGGCCCGCUGGGCAGUGGCUGACGCUGAGGCGCGACAGCGUGGGGAGCAAACAGG
Molecule: ribosomal RNA, 254 nt
Filed under: uncultured bacterium
Lineage: Bacteria
Description: partial 16S ribosomal RNA
Rfam family: Bacterial small subunit ribosomal RNA
Source: RNAcentral